Arachis ipaensis is the source of this 555-nucleotide non-coding RNA. Lineage: Eukaryota; Viridiplantae; Streptophyta; Magnoliopsida; Fabales; Fabaceae. The record is from RefSeq and is a predicted model, not a curated record.
CAAAACGCUGAAAGUCACCAAACAGGGAGAAGAAGGAAGAAACCCCCAACGUUUACGGUAAACUUCAACUUGCCGUAACUCCUCCGUCCGAGCUCCGAUCGCCGCAUCGUUUGUGGCCAUGCGACCACCGCGUUGAGCUCUACAUUUUUACUAGAACAAUUUCAUAGGAUCCAAUUAGCUUGAAAAAAAUAUUUACUCUUACUUAUGUGAAGCUUAGGUAAGGUGAGGAUAUAAUAAUUUUAUCUAAAUAUUCUGAAUUGAUGUUUUUGGGAAUUAAAUUGGGUAUAUAUGUGUUAUGAAUGUGUAUUAGGUUGUGAAUAAAUAAUUGAAACUGAAAAUUGUGAAUACCGGAACUUGGAGGAAGCUGUUUAGUUGAGGUUUUGGGGCUAUGAUUGGUUUUAAUAAAUUGCCUUGGUCAUUACGAGGAAAAUCGGCUAAGAUGCAGGUCGAGAGGCAUCUCGUUAGGCGUCUGGACUCCUGAAGCGAAGUAGUUACUGGGUUAUUUUGUAGUGCAGUGAUGUAUAUAUAUAUGUACUUAGCUUUCUCUCCGCAUAA